RNA transcript from Zea mays, 1370 nucleotides. It is a transcript of the gene named adenosine 3-phospho 5-phosphosulfate transporter pseudogene, with no coding region annotated. The transcript is spliced from 10 exons. The record is from RefSeq and is marked validated. Lineage: Eukaryota; Viridiplantae; Streptophyta; Magnoliopsida; Poales; Poaceae.
AAAGGCGUUCAGUUUCGUUCCGUUUGGGUUGGUCUGUUUAGUGCGGCGGCGACAGCGACAGCGGAGGAGAGCGGGGACGGGAGGGGCCAUGGCGGACGCGGCGGCGGACAGGGAGAGGGACAAGGGCAAGGACGACCGCCGCCGCUGGGCGGCUCGCUGCGGUUUCGCCGUCCUCGGCAUCAUGAGCACCCUCCUCGUCUACGGCGUCCUGCAGGAGAAGAUCAUGAGGGUUCCGUACGGAGCGGACAAGGAGUUCUUCAGAUACUCGCUAUUCCUUGUUUUCUGCAACCGUAUCACCACAUCCAUGGUGUCUGCAAUGGUGUUACUGGCAAGUAAGAAAUCCUUGGACCCUGUGGCUCCUCUACACAAAUAUGGCGUUGUCUCCAUAUCAAACAUACUGACCACAACCUGCCAGUAUGAGAUCUGGGGCACAAUAAUAAUGAGAAAGAAGUAUGGUGGAAAAGAUUACUUCUUUGCUGUCAUCGUGACUCUGGGCUGCGCAUUGUUCAUUCUAUAUCCGGCAAUGAUGGAUGUGAGCCCAUUUAAUAAAGGCAGAGAAAGCACUAUUUGGGGUGUUUCACUCAUGUUUGGUUAUCUUGGUUUUGAUGGGUUCACAAGCACGUUCCAAGAUAAACUCUUCAAAGGGUAUGACAUGGAAAUACACAACCAAAUAUUCUACACGACAGUGUGCUCUUGUCUUCUUAGUUUAAGUGGGCUGAUUCUCCAGAAUCAUCUGAUUCCAGCUGUGGAUUUUAUGUUUCAUCACCCAGAUUGCUUCUCUGAUGUUCUAAUCCUGUCCAGCGUUGCAACAGCUAGUCAGUUCUUUAUAUCCUACACCAUUCGAACAUUUGGGGCUCUCACAUUUGCUACCAUAAUGACAACUAGACAGCUGGUAAGUAUAUUGCUGUCCUGCAUCUGGUUUGCACAUCCUCUCAGCUGGAUGCAGUGGGUUGGCGCAGCCAUUGUUUUCGGAGCUAUAUACGCAAAGAGCUUCUUGAGGAGUAAACCGCAGAAGACAGCAGUGGCAAGCCUGCCGCAUGGCUCUAGCCCGAACCCUGCUAACAGUAGUUGACGAUUGAUGACAUGAUAACAUUAGGAAACAAUGGACUUGUUGCGGUACCGGGACGAAGAUCAAUGGCGCCAUAGCGCCAUGGUGAGGUAACUGGACAAAUGGGUUCCAGAUGUAGCUGUGUAAACUGCUCCUGACCUGGAGGUGAUGGAGGUGAUCUCCCUUUUUAGUGGAAAAAAACCAAGGUAGUCCUGAUGUUAGUUUAGUAUCCACUAUCCAGAGACCAAUUUUUCAGCCAUCCCAGGCUGUGCUAUGUUUUUUUUCUCGAACUCGCAAGAGAAUUAAGUGUCAAAAUAAUAAG